Molecule: ribosomal RNA, 1155 nt
Filed under: Agromyces bracchium
Lineage: Bacteria; Bacillati; Actinomycetota; Actinomycetes; Micrococcales; Microbacteriaceae
Description: bacterial SSU rRNA
Rfam family: Bacterial small subunit ribosomal RNA
Source: RNAcentral
UCCACACUGGGACUGAGACACGGCCCAGACUCUACGGGAGGCAGCAGUGGGGAAUAUUGCACAAUGGGCGCAAGCCUGAUGCAGCAACGCCGCGUGCGGGAUGACGGCCUUCGGGUUGUAAACCGCUUUUAGUAAGGAAGAAGGAGAGCUUGCUCCUUGACGGUACUUGCAGAAAAAGGACCGGCUAACUACGUGCCAGCAGCCGCGGUAAUACGUAGGGUCCGAGCGUUGUCCGGAAUUAUUGGGCGUAAAGAGCUCGUAGGCGGUUUGUCGCGUCUGCCGUGAAAUCCUCAGGCUCAACCUGAGGUCUGCGGUGGGUACGGGCAGACUUGAGUGGUGUAGGGGAGACUGGAAUUCCUGGUGUAGCGGUGGAAUGCGCAGAUAUCAGGAGGAACACCGAUGGCGAAGGCAGGUCUCUGGCACACUACUGACGCUGAGGAGCGAAAGCGUGGGGAGCGAACAGGAUUAGAUACCCUGGUAGUCCACGCCGUAAACGUUGGGCGCUAGAUGUGGGGCUCAUUCCACGAGUUCCGUGUCGUAGUAACGCAUUAAGCGCCCCGCCUGGGGAGUACGGCCGCAAGGCUAAAACUCAAAGGAAUUGACGGGGGCGCGCACAAGCGGCGGAGCAUGCGGAUUAAUUCGAUGCAACGCGAAGAACCUUACCAAGGCUUGACAUGANCCGAGAACGCCGCAGAAUGUGGAACUCUUUGGACACUCGGUUACAGGUGGUGCAUGGUUGUCGUCAGCUCGUGUCGUGAGAUGUUGGGUUAAGUCCCGCAACGAGCGCAACCCUCGUCGCAUGUUGCCAGCACGUUAUGGUGGGGACUCAUGUGAGACUGCCGGGGUCAACUCGGAGGAAGGUGGGGAUGACGUCAAAUCAUCAUGCCCCUUAUGUCUUGGGCUUCACGCAUGCUACAAUGGCCGGUACAAAGGGCUGCGAUACCGUAAGGUGGAGCGAAUCCCAAAAAGCCGGUCUCAGUUCGGAUUGAGGUCUGCAACUCGACCUCAUGAAGAGUCGCUAGUAAUCGCAGAUCAGCAACGCUGCGGUGAAUACGUUCCCGGGCCUUGUACACACCGCCCGUCAAGUCAUGAAAGUCGGUAACACCCGAAGCCGGUGGCCUAACCCUUGUGGAGGGAGCCGUCGAAGGUGGGAUC